RNAcentral lists this ribosomal RNA (465 nucleotides) under Elimia potosiensis. Its description in RNAcentral is "partial 16S ribosomal RNA". It matches the Rfam family "Bacterial large subunit ribosomal RNA", at positions 1842 to 2573 of the family's 2925-position model. The record is from RNAcentral. Lineage: Eukaryota; Metazoa; Mollusca; Gastropoda; Pleuroceridae.
UAUAUAAAGAGUCAGGCCUGCCCAAUGAAAUAUUUAAAUGGCCGCGGUACUCUGACCGUGCAAAGGUAGCAUAAUCAUUUGCCUUAUAAUUGAAGGCUCGUAUGAAUGGUUAGACGAAAGUAUUACUGUCUCCUUUCUAUUUUUUAGAAUUUAACCUUUAGGUGAAGAGGCCUAAAUUUAAUUGAAGGACAAGAAGACCCUGUCGAGCUUAAAAGAUAUUACAUAGAGGUUUAUAUAUUUUUAAAUAAAUUUACUAUUAAGCUUUUUAGUUGGGGCGACUAAGGAACAAAAAAAGCUUCUUAUAAUAACUAGAUAGAUAAAUUUUGAGCCGAUAAAAUCGAUUAAAAAAAUUAGUUACCGCAGGGAUAACAGCAUAAUCUCUCUUGAGAGACCUAAUCGAAAGAGGGGGUUGUGACCUCGAUGUUGGACUAAAAUAUCCUAAAGGAGUAGAAACCUUUGAGGGUC